Molecule: transfer RNA, 73 nt
Filed under: Pleurocapsa minor GSE-CHR-MK 17-07R
Lineage: Bacteria; Bacillati; Cyanobacteriota; Cyanophyceae; Pleurocapsales; Pleurocapsaceae
Also listed under: 1 other name
Description: Pleurocapsa minor GSE-CHR-MK-17-07R (algae metagenome) tRNA-Ser
Rfam family: tRNA
About the family: Transfer RNA (tRNA) molecules are approximately 80 nucleotides in length.
Source: RNAcentral
GGCCCGGUAGCCUAGUGGAUAAGGCGCCCUCCUGCUAAGAGUGAAAUCGCGGGUUCGAAUCCCGCCCGGGCCC